Canis lupus familiaris (dog) is the source of this 5434-nucleotide long non-coding RNA. RefSeq lists it as uncharacterized. The record is from RefSeq and is a predicted model, not a curated record. Lineage: Eukaryota; Metazoa; Chordata; Mammalia; Carnivora; Canidae. The transcript is spliced from 6 exons.
CCGGACGCCCGGUUGCUAGGCAACUGCGCCCCCGCUCUCUGCCGGUCUCCGGGAGGGAGCCCUCUUCCUUCACCCCCGUGAGGACUGGUUGGGGGGUGGGGUUUACCUUCUGAGGACGCCGCCGAGGAGAGACGCGUUGAGGCAUUCGGGGGGCGAGAGCCGUCUCUGAACUUCCCCCACAGUUACUUUGUACUUUGAAGUUGAACUGAGCAGAGACAGACGGCCCGGGACGGAGCAAAACACCUCGCCGGUGUUGACGGACAUGCCUCCCAGGAAGCCAUCUUUAUUCAUCAUCAGAGAAGUCACAGAUUUGGGAGGAACCGGAACUAGAGAGAGAGAGAGAGAGAGAGAAACAUAUGCCAUAAAGGUGACCGGGUUUCGAUCCUGGUGACCGGCUGAUAGAACGUGCCGGUGCGCGCGCAGGGGCGAGGCCACAGGACGGGCGCCAAGUGGAAAGCUGGAGGAGGAAGUGUUUGCUCCAGUGGGGCUGCCGUGCGUUCAGAGCACCGUGUGCGCACACAUGGAAAAGUCACCACUCCUCUGGAAACUUACCCCGUGUCGCUCGCCACAGCCCCGCUCACUCUACAAAUCAAGAAAACACGCGGCCCAGAGCCUGGAUGGUGCUGUGAAACCCGGCCACUCCUAGUCCAUCAGUGUGCUAGCUUGUGACCUGAGACAUCUCCGUGAGCCUCUCGGAAUCUUUUAAGAUUCCUCAUCCGUCUCCCGAGGAUAAUCACGUUUGGUGCUGAAUCCUGAAAGCGUUUACACUAUCAAUGAUAUAAAAGGGUAGUAUCAGUGUUCUUUAUGGGAACCCCUCCCUCCUUUCCUAUUGGAUCGAAAUCUGUGGUCAUCACUGGAGAGCCCUGGAGAGCCCUGGACAGUGGGCGCUAUCGGACACCGGGCUCAAGAACAGCCAAGUGAUACCAGGAACCUUGGGCUCAGACGAGCUGCUCAUUUCUCAAGAGUGGAUCUCAUUCUUUCCUACAUCAUAACACAUUCUUUUAGAAAUGAACCCAAAUGCUCCUCUCCAGUGAAAGCAAUUCCACAGAGACAUGAAUUUUGUUUACAAAUUAACUAAAGCACCGGCUGGUGAUUAUUUGGAGCAGUUAUGAUUUACAACAGGUGCCCUGAUCAAUCAACCAAUCACUCUAAUUCAUGUGAGCGGAGGUCUUGCCUUGCCCCAGUUGUUUCAUUUCGGCAAGUAAUUGAUAACAAACCGCACUCAAGUAUCAUCUGCACCUCAGGAGGAGGCGGGGCUCAGUAGAACCAGAAGGCUGGGAAGGAAGAACAAUGAAUGGUCAACCUCCCAAUUCGCUGGCAGGCUUACUCCCUUGGAGUUCUACAUUGUUGAAGCCCAUUUUCUUCAGGUUCUAGAAGCCACAGGGCAGGUGACUUCCUGACUUGCCUUACACCUUAGCUUCUUGCAAUGAUUCUGGCAUUCAGACAUCCAUGAUUGCUUAGAGACUGCCGAAAGCCGAAAUUCAUAUUCAAGAACUAUAAGCAAAUAAUUUAUGAUCGUGGGAAUUAGCAUCAGAUAGUCUUGGAGAAACUUUUUCCCAAAAUAUACAUGAUGGCCUUUUGUAAUUUUAACAUGCUUAUCAAUAAACCCAGAGAGCAACAGGGCCCGGUUGAUUUGUUAGUAAUUAUGAGCACACUGUUCCUGCUCAUGGAACCCAGAGAUGACUAAGAUAGGUUUAAAGCGACAGCAGGAAAUGGUCGGGGCGGUGGCCCUCCGCGUGUAUGUCUGGGUCACCCAACAUACCCCCCAUACCAACCACUCCGCCAGGUGAGUACCCCUCGCUUUGAGGCCCAUCGGCCCAGCAGCGCCCUGGUCCGGGGCUGGGUGGAGGAAGGAGGGAGCCUGAACACACACUAGGUUCCUAAGAUCGAACAACUGACUGAGGUCCAGGUGGAGACACGCUCUGGUCCCCUUUUAAAGACUGGUCGGGCGCAGCCAACCCAAUCCGUAGCUGCAAAGGAACGGUGAGAUCCCCUCUGGCUCGUGUCACUUCAGCUGCCCCCACCCCAACCCCUCGGCGCUCCAGAUCCCUAAUUCGGAAGUGGAUCCUCCGGGAUGCAGCAGAUGAGGCACAGCCUCUGCAUUCGUGGGUCUGGUCCUAGGUACACCUCUUCCCCUGCCUUUCUUUGUCACCUGCCCCUUGUCAAGCACACCCAGGCCUCGGGAGGCCUGUCAACGCCGCGGGGGCAGAGAUCUUCCCCGCUGCCCGGGACUGGCGCAGGAUAGCAGCCCCCCUCCUCGACCCCCUGCACUGAGGGUCGUCCAGAGAAAGCCCCGCGAGCAGCCCCACCUCGCCAGACGGGCUGCUGCGAAGCUGCUGGGGGAGGAACCAGGCAGAGGUGCGUGGGCGGGGAGCCUGCGUGGGCCGGGGCCUGCACCUUCUCUCCUCUGGGCUCUUUGCACCUCGCGGUCCGUGUUCCGACGCAAGAACUCAGCCUGUGGCACGACGCUUUGAAGAGGGUGUCCUCCCCAAUACACACUGAACUGGUCCUGUUCUCUCCUCUACCUUUGGCUAAACGCCCAAAACCCCUUACAAUUAUACCUUAAAAAAAACAACAACAAAAAAAAACAAAAACAAAACAAAAAAAAAAAAACCAAAACAAAACUAAAACUAAACUAAACUGAAACCAAAGAAAUCUAUUCCCUCUUUUGAGAGAACUCCUGGGUUCAGUUGACUGAGUCACCCGGCCUGCAGGGUGAUGGUGAUGCGGCCAGUGUGUUAGCAUUGCCAACAGCAGUGGUGAUGGGUUGAUCCACUUUCAUUAUCUAGCACUUUGAGCCCUACUCAGAAAGGUUAAUUUAAGAACUUAGCUCCCCCCCAACACACAUAUUACCCCAAUACAUUUUUUUGAAGCUAUUAAAUAUUUCCUUCUUGUAUGGUAUUCCGAAACGAGCAAUUUCUCCAGAUAGAAUACUCAAGCUUGAUUAAAUCAACAACACUACCAUUCUUAUUACUAUGGGUAAAUCCAGCCACAAAUCAGGUGAUUCCAUCAUUCUUGGAAAUAAUAAAUAACAGAAUCUCCUCUAAAGCAAUAAACCAUCAUAGACUACACACAGGCAGCAUUUGGUGCUGUCACCACAUUUUAACCGUUCAAAAUACAUUUUUUUUUUCCAAGUAAGGUAAAGAAGGACUCAAGUACUCUUCUUUUCUUCCCCAUUUCAUUUUUCUUUGCUUUGGAGGUAUGGCUGAAAUGAUGCGUAAUAUAUACAACUAUGCCAAUGAGACAGAAGUGUCAAACACCUUUCAACCAUAUUUAUCUUUUCUGCAGACUAUUUAAAUUAGGGAGCAAAAGGAAACCUGCUCAGAAUCACCCAGACAGUUUUUAGAAAUCAUUUCUUUGAUGUUUCUUUGUUUAGUUUAACCAAGUAUUCUCAACCAAAUCAGUCUCCAUUGUGUAGGUUGCAGAUGGGUUAGGGAGUGGGUGGGUGGGGGGAGUGUUUUGAGCCUUUUGUUUUAAGAAACAAACACGUGAUGCCUCUUUAACUGGGAUAGUGGCUUUGGGGAGAGGAGAGUAUUAAAGGAGGGGGAGGAUUGAAGAGGGAUGUGGAGAAUAUUGCUCCCCAGUCAUUUAAUGGAUCAAAAGGUGAAAACAUUCUCCAAAAUGGUCUGUCUCCUCUCGGACUCCCAAGCGGAUUAUGGCUUUCUGGGUCUCUCCCCACAUUUAUUCCAUUUCUUGGGAAGAUGACUCUGGAAAUCACUUAUCUUGAAAAAGGGCUCAGCAGCUUAUGAGUCAUUCAAAGUGGGUCCUGGUUUGGACAAUCACAGCACAUGUUUUUCUUCCCAUGUGCACCGUCACGCUUAAAUUCCAGCAGGAACUUCUGGAGUGCAAGAGGACCCUAUCCCUCCAUGCUGAAGCUCCAGGCUCUAGGCAGCCCAGUCUUUCACCUGCCUUGUCUGGGGGCCAGGCCCACUAUGGGACGUCCAUGGAGAGUGAGUUGCGAAGGGUACCCAGCUUGCUAGCACAAAGUACAAGAGAAUAGGAAGUAGCUAGGGCAAGACAAAAAACAUCUAGCCUUAAUUCUGAUGAUGCUAAACUAUCAACAUACACACAUAGGUUUUUCUCCUUUAUGAUUUCUAGUGGUUCCAGCUUUCAUAAUUGGGCCUCCAGAAAUCGAAUUGCCACUACAGAGCCAUACAUGUAUUAACAGUUAUAUUGUGGUGUCCAGCUAUUCCUGUUCUAAAGAUGAAAACUACCUCCCCCAAAGGAUACAGAGCUGCCCCUCCCCCAUCCCUCCUAUCUCCUGGGGCAUUCACUAUUUAUUUAUUUAUUGUCCUUUUCGUUUGUUUGUUUGUGGUUACCUGGACGUCUUCCAUUCCGGGAUGGCCGAGGCCGUGCAGCGAGAGGCUGUCACCCAUGCCCGCGUCCAGGCCGUGGUGCGCCGAAUGCAGCAGCACGUCUGGCCGGCGGACCGAGUGGUAGUCCCUCCGGGGGUCGAGGCCCGAGAGCUGGGGCAAGGCUGCCCGAGGCUGGGGCAGGAGAGAGCCGGCUUCCGAACCCACUUCUUGCCGCUGCCGUUGCCCCCAGGGAUGCUGCUGGGGCUGGUGCAGUGGGUUCAGAGAGUAGGGGUCGUUGACGUGGGAGUAGGGAUCCUGGCUCUGAUGGUAGGGGAGCGGCUGGUAGGGAGGCGGGAAGUAGGGCGGCUGGAAGUCUGACGACGGGGUGUGGGACAGCGGCGGGGCGCUGGAGUAAGGUCCUUGGGAUACCGAGCCCAGCUGCGAGAGCCUGGAGCUGUGGCUCGGGACGCCAUCGUGCCGGUCCUGGGAGCGGAGAGAAGGAGAGAGAGAAACAGAGUGACAGAGAGAGACAGAGGGAGGGAGGGAGGGAGAGAGAGAGAGAGAGAGAGAGAGAGAGAGGAAGAAAAAAAAAAUACAAGCGACUAAUGGAGAAGCUCGGCUUCGUAUAUUCUUCCCAGGACAGGGAAGCAAGAGUCUGAAACUUAUAACUCCCAAGUUGACUCAGAGGGCACAUGAUUUCAGCAAUUCCAAACUCCAGGCUUUGGGGGAAAAAAUGGGGGAGAAUCACCACCCACUUACCCGACAUCUGAGCCCUAUGUUCGGAGUGCAAAGUGGGCCUGAGGGGUGAGGGUACAGUAACUAUAGGUAAGGGCAGCAAUUCUAAAUUCCUUAGUUAAAAAUAUAGGAGGCUUACACAGAGUAUUUCCUCUUCUGGGGGUUUUCAACUAUUCUUCCUGACUCUUCCAGAGGUCCAAAGCAUAACAAAUAAAACUUCAUACUAUUUGCUGUGCGGCUACUCCUGUUCAAAACCAACUUCUGCCUCCCCUGGCAACCCAGCCAGCUGACCAAGAGCUCCCCGCGCAAACCUGAGAAUUCCGGGAGCCCUGAGGAAUUUGCCUGCUCGGAGUUCCCAGUCACCCCUCCCUCCCCAAGAGGAAUUAAAUAAUUUAAAUAGUGUU